CGGGUUGGCCGGGCGGCCGCCGGGUCCCUAGGGACCGGGAGGAAAGUCCGGGCUCCGCAAGGCACGGCGCUGGCUAACGGCCAGCGGGGGAAACCCCGGGAAAGCGCAACAGAGAGCAGACCGCCGGAGGCCCUCCUCCGGCAAGGGUGAAAGGGUGAGGUAAGAGCUCACCGGCCGCCUGGGCGACCAGGCGGGCCAGGCAUGCCCCGCCGGGAGCAAGACCUAAUAGGGGAACUACAAAGCCGCCUGCUUUGUUCCCGGGUUGGUCGCUUGAGCGGGGGGGAGACCCCCCGCCUAGACGAAUGGCCGCCGGGGGCGAGAGCCCCCCACAGAACCCGGCUUACAGGCCGGCCCGGAUC
This 359-nucleotide RNase P RNA is filed under the name Deltaproteobacteria bacterium. RNAcentral describes it as "RNase P RNA component class A". It matches the Rfam family "Bacterial RNase P class A". From Rfam's summary of the family: Ribonuclease P (RNase P) is a ubiquitous endoribonuclease, found in archaea, bacteria and eukarya as well as chloroplasts and mitochondria. Its best characterised activity is the generation of mature 5'-ends of tRNAs by cleaving the 5'-leader elements of precursor-tRNAs. The record is from RNAcentral. Lineage: Bacteria; Pseudomonadati; Myxococcota; Myxococcia.